GAUGAACGCUGGCGGCGUGCCUAAUACAUGCAAGUCGAGCGAACGGACGAGAAGCUUGCUUCUCUGAUGUUAGCGGCGGACGGGUGAGUAACACGUGGAUAACCUACCUAUAAGACUGGGAUAACUUCGGGAAACCGUAGCUAAUACCGGAUAAUAUUUUGUACCGCAUGGUUCAACAGUGAAAGACGGUCUUGCUGUCACUUAUAGAUGGAUCCGCGCUGCAUUAGCUAGUUGGUAAGGUAACGGCUUACCAAGGCAACGAUGCAUAGCCGACCUGAGAGGGUGAUCGGCCACACUGGAACUGAGACACGGUCCAGACUCCUACGGGAGGCAGCAGUAGGGAAUCUUCCGCAAUGGGCGAAAGCCUGACGGAGCAACGCCGCGUGAGUGAUGAAGGUCUUCGGAUCGUAAAACUCUGUUAUUAGGGAAGAACAUAUGUGUAAGUAACUGUGCACAUCUUGACGGUACCUAAUCAGAAAGCAACGGCUAACUACGUG
This 497-nucleotide ribosomal RNA is filed under the name uncultured bacterium. RNAcentral describes it as "partial 16S ribosomal RNA". It matches the Rfam family "Bacterial small subunit ribosomal RNA", at positions 28 to 507 of the family's 1533-position model. The record is from RNAcentral.